Molecule: ribosomal RNA, 497 nt
Filed under: uncultured bacterium
Lineage: Bacteria
Description: partial 16S ribosomal RNA
Rfam family: Bacterial small subunit ribosomal RNA
Source: RNAcentral
GACGAACGCUGGCGGCGUGCCUAAUACAUGCAGGUAGAACGCUGAAGAGAGGAGCUUGCUCUUCUUGGAUGAGUUGCGAACGGGUGAGUAACGCGUAGGUAACCUGCCUUGUAGCGGGGGAUAACUAUUGGAAACGAUAGCUAAUACCGCAUAACAAUGGAUGACCCAUGUCAUUUAUUUGAAAGGGGCAAAUGCUCCACUACAAGAUGGACCUGCGUUGUAUUAGCUAGUAGGUGAGGUAACGGCUCACCUAGGCGACGAUACAUAGCCGACCUGAGAGGGUGAUCGGCCACACUGGGACUGAGACACGGCCCAGACUCCUACGGGAGGCAGCAGUAGGGAAUCUUCGGCAAUGGGGGCAACCCCGACCGAGCAACGCCGCGUGAGUGAAGAAGGUUUUCGGAUCGUAAAGCUCUGUUGUAAGUCAAGAACGAGUGUGAGAGUGGAAAGUUCACACUGUGACGGUAGCUUACCAGAAAGGGACGGCUAACUACGUG